CAGGAAGAAGGCCUUCUGGGUUGUAAACUGCUUUUGCCGGGGGAUAAAAGACCCCUGCGGGGGAAAUUGAAGGUACCUGGUGAAUAAGCCACGGCUAACUACGUGC
This 106-nucleotide ribosomal RNA is filed under the name uncultured bacterium. RNAcentral describes it as "partial 16S ribosomal RNA". The record is from RNAcentral.